AGUGAACGCUGGCGGUAGGCCUAACACAUGCAAGUCGAACGGCAGCACAGUAAGAGCUUGCUCUUACGGGUGGCGAGUGGCGGACGGGUGAGGAAUACAUCGGAAUCUACUUUUUCGUGGGGGAUAACGUAGGUAAACUUACGCUAAUACCGCAUACGACCUACGGGUGAAAGCAGGGGAUCUUCGCACCUUGCGCGAUUGAAUGAGCCGAUGUCGGAUUAGCUAGUUGGCGGGGUAAAGGCCCACCAAGGCGACGAUCCGUAGCUGGUCUGAGAGGAUGAUCAGCCACACUGGAACUGAGACACGGUCAAGACUCCUACGGGAGGCAGCAGUGGGGAAUAUUGGACAAUGGGCGCAAGCCUGAUCCAGCCAUACCGCGUGGGUGAAGAAGGCCUUCGGGUUGUAAAGCCCUUUUGUUGGGAAAGAAAAGCAGCAGGUUAAUACCACGCUGUUCUGACGGUACCCAAAGAAUAAGCACCGGCUAACUUCGUG
This 492-nucleotide ribosomal RNA is filed under the name uncultured bacterium. RNAcentral describes it as "partial 16S ribosomal RNA". It matches the Rfam family "Bacterial small subunit ribosomal RNA", at positions 29 to 507 of the family's 1533-position model. The record is from RNAcentral.